GACGAACGCUGGCGGCGUGCUUAACACAUGCAAGUCGAACGGAAAGGCCCUGCUUUUGUGGGGUGCUCGAGUGGCGAACGGGUGAGUAACACGUGAGUAACCUGCCCUUGACUUUGGGAUAACUUCAGGAAACUGGGGCUAAUACCGGAUAGGAGCUCCUGCUGCAUGGUGGGGGUUGGAAAGUUUCGGCGGUUGGGGAUGGACUCGCGGCUUAUCAGCUUGUUGGUGGGGUAGUGGCUUACCAAGGCUUUGACGGGUAGCCGGCCUGAGAGGGUGACCGGCCAGAGGGGGAUUGAGCUACGCCCGAGUCCCGUCGGGGAGGCAGAGGGGGGAAAGUUUGCAAAGGGGGGGGAAGCCGGACGCAGCAGCCCCGCGGGGGGGAGGCGGGCCUUGGGUUUGAAACCCGUUUUCGCCUGUGACGAGGGGGGGGUGAGGGUAGUGGGUAAAAAAACCCCGGCUAACUACGUC
RNAcentral lists this ribosomal RNA (468 nucleotides) under uncultured bacterium. Its description in RNAcentral is "partial 16S ribosomal RNA". It matches the Rfam family "Bacterial small subunit ribosomal RNA", at positions 28 to 507 of the family's 1533-position model. The record is from RNAcentral.